UUUAAAUCACAGCGGCGACUGGAGAUAAGUGCGCACAUGUGAAAACAGACGAGGAGCUAUGGAGAGUGGAAGACGUUCAAAUGAAGUCACACACCCCUCUGUGUCAGCCCUCACCCUCGGAUAUUGAAAACAGUCGCCACGGUUACCUCGCUUAACCCUAACAGGAAGAGGUUCUCGAUGAAAACAGCCAGGAUCGAGAACAUGUUGUAGGAAUCGUGUCAAUAAACGGGACUAACCUGGGACACGCCGUCCAAUCGGGUUCAUUCUACUCCCUGUCCAAUCCCAGCCCGACCUGCCAGAGUCAGGUGACACCGGGACGGUUCUGCAGUCGCAUCACAAGACCAACAGCAGCAGACCUACAGAAUAAGACAACAACAAAACUAAUAAUAAAGUGCAGUGAAUAAAGUGUCCGGCCCUGAGAUCGACUUCAACACUGAUCUUUGAUCCAGAUCGGUUCUGGUUCAGACUGGGUUCUGGUCAGUGUUCUGGACUGUAGUCGGCCGAGAAGAGACAGAGAAUGUGGAUGUUCUGUUCUGUUCAUCAGGGCCGAGAACCAGCAUUUGUUUGAAGAGGAGUGGAACAGUAAUCACGUGUUGACAUGUUUAUGUCUCCUGUGGUCAAUGCCAACAACAACAACUUUAUAGUUUAAGAAAAUGUUAUGGUUUGACCCGGAGCCAAGUGUAUGAUUUUGAAACAUAGGGAGGAGAAGUGAGUUCAUCUGUAUGUUUUCAAGAUUAUUGAUGUGACGUUCAAGAAUAUUGUACUGCCGUUCGUUGGUUCUCAAAGUAUGGCACGCAGACCGCUGCUGGGUCCAAAAACACCUACCAACAGAGAUAAAGUUAAACACGUCAUUGACGUUACUUACAUAUUUGCUUUAUUGAUCAGUGAUGAAAAUAAUUGUGGGUCGCAGCCGAGGUCUACAACAUCAGUGUGACCUGGUCCGACAUCAGAACACGUCUGGUACGUCAGUGACACUGCUUCACGGUAACGUGAUGACGUGAGCAGUAACGAAGACCAGCUACAGACCUGGACCGCAGCUCGUCAACACUCUGCUGUUAAUAACGCAGUGAGCUGCAGAUGUUCGCCGUGCAGAUUUCCACGGAGGUGGAUUUUCUCGUCUGGAAACAAAGAAGGAAAAACUGGACAGUAACAUGAAGAGCAGCUGUUAGAUUUUAUACUUCAUACCAUGGAGCGACUCCAAGUAGCCAACGUUAGGAAAUGUUUUUAUUUUUAUUCAAUAAUAACAACUUGGUUCCAAAUGCUGUGCAGGAAUUUUUAUAGUUAUGGUGGGGGUUUGGGGGAGGCAGCGUGCUGACAGUGUGCAAACAAACAGUAAAUGUAGUGAUUUGUGGAUGAAAACCAGUCCAAUAACUAAAUAAAUACUCUCACUUUUUCCCCCUCUUUUUGCAGCAUUUUUCUUUUUUAAGUUUCAAACACAGAAGAUUGUUCUCAAUCUAACAAUGCUGUUCCAUCCUAACAGCAGGUUAAUGUACCAAAAUUACAAAAGUUUUCAGAUUCACUGGUGUAAUCAAUAUUAUAAUAAAA
Cynoglossus semilaevis (tongue sole) is the source of this 1545-nucleotide long non-coding RNA. RefSeq lists it as uncharacterized. The record is from RefSeq and is a predicted model, not a curated record. The transcript is spliced from 2 exons. Lineage: Eukaryota; Metazoa; Chordata; Actinopteri; Pleuronectiformes; Cynoglossidae.